Molecule: ribosomal RNA, 467 nt
Filed under: uncultured bacterium
Lineage: Bacteria
Description: partial 16S ribosomal RNA
Rfam family: Bacterial small subunit ribosomal RNA
Source: RNAcentral
GACGAACGCUGGCGGCGUGCUUAACACAUGCAAGUCGAACGGAAAGGCCCUGCUUUUGUGGGGUGCUCGAGUGGCGAACGGGUGAGUAACACGUGAGUAACCUGCCCUUGACUUUGGGAUAACUUCAGGAAACUGGGGCUAAUACCGGAUAGGAGCUCCUGCUGCAUGGUGGGGGUUGGAAAGUUUCGGCGGUUGGGGAUGGACUCGCGGCUUAUCAGCUUGUUGGUGGGGUAGUGGCUUACCAAGGCUUUGACGGGUAGCCGGCCCGAGAGGGUGACCGGCCACAUGGGGCUGAGGUACGGGCCCGGAUGCUACCGGGGGGCGGCGUGGGGAAUUUUGCCCCAUGGGGGGGAGGCUGAAGCAGCAACGCCGCGUGCGGGAUGACGGCCUUCGGGUUGUAAACCGCUUUCGCCUGUGACGAAGCGUGAGUGACGGUAAUGGGUAAAGAAGCACCGGCUAACUACGUG